This 121-nucleotide small nucleolar RNA is filed under the name Echinops telfairi (small Madagascar hedgehog). RNAcentral describes it as "Small nucleolar RNA SNORA61 (ENSETEG00000026672.1)". Lineage: Eukaryota; Metazoa; Chordata; Mammalia; Afrosoricida; Tenrecidae. The record is from RNAcentral.
CCCCUCGGGAUGCCUUCUUCUAAACAGAUCUAAACACUGGUCUGAGUGGUUACAAAGCGGGGAGGGUAACAGUGAAGCUGAUUCAAUGCUUCUGUAGCACAUGGGCUAGUUUCUAACAAUG